UUGAUAGCUCAGUUGGUAGAGCAGAGGACUGAAAAUCCUCGUGUCGGCGGUUCGAUUCCGUCUCAAG
RNAcentral lists this transfer RNA (67 nucleotides) under human gut metagenome. It matches the Rfam family "tRNA". Rfam says of the family: Transfer RNA (tRNA) molecules are approximately 80 nucleotides in length. The record is from RNAcentral.